GACGAACGCUGGCGGCGUGCUUAACACAUGCAAGUCGAACGAUGAAGAAGAGAAACGCGAACUUCGGUUCAGAUUUCACUUCGGAUUAGUGGCAGACGGGUGAGUAACGCGUGAGCAACCUACCUCUUACAAAGGGAUAGCCUCGGGAAACCGUGAUUAAUACCAUAUGACACAUUCAUAAGGCAUCUUAAGAAUGUUAAAGCUACGGCGGUAAGAGAUGGGCUCGCGUCCCAUUAGCUAGUUGGUGAGGUAACGGCCCACCAAGGCGACGAUGGGUAACCGGCCUGAGAGGGUGAACGGUCACAUUGGAACUGAGACACGGUCCAAACUCCUACGGGAGGCAGCAGUGGGGAAUAUUGCACAAUGGAGGGAACUCUGAUGCAGCGACGCCGCGUGAGCGAUGAAGGAAUUCGUUUCGUAAAGCUCUGUUCUAUGGGAAGAAAAGGACUGUACCAUAGGAGAAAGCCCCGGCUAAAUACGUG
This 482-nucleotide ribosomal RNA is filed under the name uncultured bacterium. RNAcentral describes it as "partial 16S ribosomal RNA". It matches the Rfam family "Bacterial small subunit ribosomal RNA", at positions 28 to 507 of the family's 1533-position model. The record is from RNAcentral.